This 353-nucleotide long non-coding RNA is filed under the name Homo sapiens (human). RNAcentral's name for it is "non-protein coding lnc-CEP295-4:1". The record is from RNAcentral. Lineage: Eukaryota; Metazoa; Chordata; Mammalia; Primates; Hominidae.
GAAUUCUAUGUCUGGCAAAAAUACCCCUCAGGAAUGAAGGGGAAAUUAAAACAUUCUCAAACGAAGGAAAACUAAAAGGAUUUGUUGCUGGCAGACCUACCCUAAAAGAAUGGCUAAAGAAAGUUCUCUUAACAGAAAAGAAAUGAUAAAGAAGGAAUCUUAAGACAUCAGCGAAGAAGUAAAAACACCAAAAAGAGUAAAAAACAUGGGGGGAAAUGCAAUAGACUUUCCUUAUCCUCUUGUAUUUUCUAAAUUUUUUGAUAGCAAAAAAUUAUAACCUUGUCUAAUAUGGUUUUCAGUAUAUGUACAGGAAACACUAAGAUAAUUGUGUUAUAAAUGGAACAGAGUAAAAG